Molecule: ribosomal RNA, 1401 nt
Filed under: Triticum aestivum (bread wheat)
Lineage: Eukaryota; Viridiplantae; Streptophyta; Magnoliopsida; Poales; Poaceae
Description: partial small subunit ribosomal RNA
Source: RNAcentral
AUGCUGAGGGAGUGCGGCAUCUCGAUAGAUCCAGAGUUUACUCAAGUCGAGGGUAGAGUCCUUCAAGCACCACAGUUAAACUCUGCAGAUGGUAGAGAACUUCAUACACCUAAUGGGAGGUGGAACUUCAAUAAUGACAGGUUCAUUCAACCCAUAAAAGUGAAGAUGUGGGGAGUUGUUAAUUUGUCUGCACGAUGUAAUGUUGAAGAUCUUGUCAGGCGCCUUAUCCAGUCUGGUGCCAAGAAGGGAACUGAAAUGGCCGAAUGUGGCGUUGUAAUUGAGGAGAGGCAUCAAAUGAGACGGGAGCCUCCGACGAAAAGGGUGGAGGCUAUGUUUCAGCAGAUUAAAGCAAAGUUAACACGAAAACCAGACUUUCUCUUUCUCCUGUGUGUUCUUCCUGAGAAGAACAGUGACAUUUAUGGACCGUGGAAGCGCGAAUGCCUUGUGGAGCAUGGUAUCUUUACACAAUGCUUGGUUCCUCCUCCCAAUAUCAAAGAUCAGUACCUCACAAAUGUGCUGCUAAAGAUAAAUGCCAAGCUGGGCGGGUUGAAUUCAUUGCUAAAAAAGGAAACAACCCGUGCUAUUCCUCACGUGUCGAGGGUACCAACCAUCAUCUUUGGUAUGGAUGUUUCCCAUGGUUCACCAGGACGAAACGUGCCAUCGGUUGCUGCAGUGGUUAGUUCAUUGAAGUGGCCAAUCAUGUCAAAGUACAGAGCGUCUGUGUGCACUCAGUCACCCAGGCUGGAAAUGAUUGAUACCUUGUUUAAGCCAGUUGGAGAUGAUGAUCAUGGCCUCAUUAAGGAUUCACUAGUUGACUUCCUCAGAAACAACAAUGGUCAGAGGCCGGAACAAAUUAUCAUUUUCAGGGAUGGUGUUAGUGAGAGCCAGUUCAAUCAGGCACUGAACGAGGAGCUAGCUCAGAUCAUGGAGGCAUGCAAGCAUUUUAAUGGCAACUGGUUCCCCAAGUUCACAUUGAUAGUUGCACAGAAGAAUCAUCACACGAGAUUUUUCCUACCUGAUCAAGUGAAUAAUGUCCCCCCUGGUACUGUGGUUGAUAGAGGCAUCUGCCAUCCCAGUAACUAUGAUUUCUACAUGUGUGCUCACGCUGGCAUGAUUGGUACUACAAGGCCAACGCACUACCAUGUGCUCCACGACGAGAUAGGCUUCUCUGCUGAUGAGCUGGAGGAGCUCGUGCACUCCCUAUCCUAUGCGUACCAGAGGAGCACCACAGCAAUCUCAGUAGUUGCUCCCAUAUUCUACGCACACCUUGCGGCGGGCCAGGUGGCCAAGUUCACCAGGCUCGAUGACAUGUCGGAGACGUCGUCCCAGGCUGAGGCUGCCCCGGUGCCGGAGCUGCCUCGUCUGCAUCGCAACAUAGCGUCAUCGAUGUUCUUCUGCUGA